This 109-nucleotide transfer RNA is filed under the name Chryseobacterium defluvii. RNAcentral's name for it is "tRNA-OTHER". It matches the Rfam family "tRNA". From Rfam's summary of the family: Transfer RNA (tRNA) molecules are approximately 80 nucleotides in length. Their secondary structure includes four short double-helical elements and three loops (D, anti-codon, and T loops). Lineage: Bacteria; Pseudomonadati; Bacteroidota; Flavobacteriia; Flavobacteriales; Weeksellaceae. The record is from RNAcentral.
GGAGCAGUAGCUCAGAUGGUCAGAGCAACAAUAUUACUUUCCGCUGUUGGCAGACAAAGUUCCUAUAUAUCCCAAUUGUGGGUCGCAGGUUCGAGUCCUGCCUGCUCCU